CUUCUAUUUCAGGACAACAUCACUUGGUUUGGGCAUGAGCCAGCCUUCCAGAGGUGCUCUGCCACCACUUUCCUCAGUGCAAAGCUACCAGAAGGCCACCUGCUGCCCGAGGCUUACCAAGAGCUGUCCUGGAAUGCUGAGCUUCCACCUGCCUGACACGAGGAGAGCAUUUCACAGAAUUUACUGUGCAAUGGAAUUUACCCUACAGGCUGCUUUCUUCCUUAUCCCACAGGGGCAGCCUGUGUAAAUUCUUUCAGGAUGACAUUAAAUCAUUCAGCUGCACCCAUUGUGUUGGAUUCAAUAUAACGCAGACCAAAGAACAUAUAGGCCAAAUGCCCUCUGUCUCUCAGGAAUUACAUGCUUGCUAGGAGUAAAUUAUGGUGUAUUAUAAUAGAAAAAUAUUGUCGUGAGUUAUUUGUGGCUAAACACCAAAACAAAGUACUAUGUGGCAACAUCUGAUACACAACUGACUUAAAGCCAUUUGCCCGAAGGAAUUAGUUGCUAACCAAAAUCAUUAUCAUUAACUUGUUCUGUAACACAACUUUGCACAAAGGAAAAACAAAGCGCUUCUGGCAGCCAUGAAAAUCCCCAUCCUUAGGCUAAAACGUAGCUAGAUGUUGGGCCACACUCCUCAGCCUCCUCCACUCCAUCUAAGCUGGAUAAACUGGAGGCUUCACUUUGAACUCAGUCCUCCCUUUUCAGCCUCCAGCUCCACGCUGAUCUGCUCCCGUGCUCAGUGCCGCAAGCCAGCCUUAUACACCCGGUGUUCCCCAUACACUCUGAACUGCUCUCAUUUACUUUUCCAUUUCAUUUCACCCAAUUUGUUUCCCUGGGCCCUCUGGAGCCAUCCUGACCAGAGCCUCUGGAUGCUAUCACAAUACAAACAAUUCGAGGUGAAAAAGGCUGCGUUCUGAAAAUGGAAGAGGACUCUUGGAAAGAAUUUGAACCUUUCUAGAAUAAAUAAAACAUCUUAAAUGUUAUUCAAAUAACUUGCUUUCAUCUCUCUUUUUAUUUCCUUAAAGUUAAUUGGAAAGAAAGAAAGAAGUCACCAGGACACGUUCCAGGAGUCUCCUUGGUAUAAAUCAGGCAGCACACACUGCAGACCAGUAACAAUGAAAUGACCCCUUAAAGUAUUGCAUUUCUUGCCAAGCAUAACCUCUUCAGGCACUUUAAACUUUACCAUUGGCUAGAAUUUGAGAGCUGAAAGUCCGUCUUUUCCUAGUUGAAGUUGAGUAAUGACUGAGACACGAUUGAAGUUGAGGCACAGAGAAAGGAAAAAGGGCUAAAGCGACCCAUCUCGGCUGCUGUUUUCAGUAGAAAAGCACGUCUGAGAUUUAAGAAGGAGAUACUCUCAGCCUAUAAACCCCCAGAUUCUCCUCCAGGGUUAGAACAUCAUAUUCCCAUCAUCUGUAAUUUGGGUGCAUCUCUUUCCCAGGAUGCCUGUAGAAAUGACUUGCUGUAUUGGGCCUAUUUACUUCCAGACGAGAUCCAGUCCUGGAGUGCUCAGCAAGCUGGAGGUGAAAUGAAAGGGAAGGGGAAGGAUCCACGUGGGACCUGGCUUGUGACAGACCCCUCCAGACUCUGCUCUAACGUCUUAUUCCACCAACACAGAAAUCGGAAUCACAGCAGUCAGGCAGUUCUAUUUACAAAUGAGUGAAAAGCAAAUACCACAGAGUUUUAUUCCUCCCACUUUUCAAGUUUACAACUUCGUUACUGCAGUGCCUGUGCCCUUGAUGGAUUGGAUUCUAAUGGGACACAGGAAACACAAACAGAUGACUAACAUUAGCCAGUAAAUGUAAGCACCAGGGAAAGCCAAAAAUAGGUUGCUUUUAGCUCCUCCCAUGUUAUCCAGCAAUUCAGAACAAGAAAAAACACUGAGAAAAAAAAAAUCAUAAUUUGCUCUUAAAUAGAACCUUCUGUUAGAGGGUAUUGGAGCAGUGUAUGACUGUUAAAUAUUUGGUACUAAUGUGAGGAGUGUUUGAUACCCAAGUGCAGGGGUAAAAAUCCAUCAGAAGAACAGUAGACAGCCAACCUGAAUAAAAAUGUAUUGCACAUGCGACUGUGGGUGUCACUGAAAACAUGGAAAACAUUUAGACAAGAAAAUGAAAAUACCUGAAAUAUAAAAUUCUUUGUGUCAAAAUAUUUCAGAAAAUCAUUCCUCUUAAAUAUUUUUCCUUUAACUGCCUUCUGUUAUGCAAAUUAAUAAUAAUCCACCUCUCCGCAAUCCCCUCCUUCAAAAGAAAAUGUGUUUGGCUCGACUGUGGCAUUAAACAGAUCUCCAGGUUUUGAGGGAGAAAAUCCCAGCUGUUCUUCUACCUCUCCUGCUCACAAAACUCAAGUGGCUUUGUGCAGUUAUUAACAAAAUAACCACAUGAAGUGGAACACUUCAAAAAAAAAAAUCCAAAAUAGUUUAAAAAAAUGAGUAACUUUCCCCUGCAUUCUGCACACUUCGUUGCUGUGCAUGCUGAAGAGUAAUUUGAUACUAACAAGUCUCUUGCAGUUUGUCUUUUAGCAUCUCUGCCUGUAUUAAAAAGUAUAUAAAUAUAGGUAUAUUAAAUCACCUCUGCAUCAAAUAACAGAAAAUAUUUUAUCACAUGAAGCGAGGUUCCUGACUAAUCUGUGUGAAGACAACCAUAAGGGACAUGCACCAAGCAAGUAGAGAUAAAGAAGAAUGAAUGCCUGUUUUCAGGGCUUCCUGCAGCUACACUUUCACAUCAGUCUCCCAGCCCAGUUCACAAAAUAAGCUGCUGCCAUCUUAUGGAAGAGACUCUGAAAAGCAUUUGGUAUAAAAACAGUCCUAGUCCUGAUCUCUCUCUCCCUUUCUGCUUUUUUUUUCAUGACAUUCAGUUUACUGUGUGAUUAAUAAUGACUUUUUUUUCCCCCUCCAGAAUUUCCUUGCUUUGUAACUAUGUCUAUUGUACCGAGUUAUUCUUUGUGGAAGUCACUUUCUCAGCUAUGAUUUUACUGUAAUUUUCAGAGCAUCCAGGAAGUCACAUGGAGCAGUGCGCUGAGAAAGGGAGCAAACCAGCCAGCCUCUGAGUUCUGACACCACUUCACACAGAGGUUUCUUGUACUGCACCACAAAAGCCAGCUGGAGCCAUUCAGCCACUACAGGAUAAAGUCAUCAUUUUUGCUCAGUCUUAAGGAAGUCAUUCUUUGUGCUCCAUCCCUGGCCUUUUCUACGUGGUCUGCUUAAACCAGAUUAACUAACAGUGUGAUUUUUAACAUGCUUACUAAGAUAAAUGAAAAUAUGCUAGUGUAAGCCUGAAGCCAGCAAGUAUACAAGAAUUUAAUUUCUCCAUCUAUAAGCUAUAGCUACAUGUGCAGAACUUGAGGGAGCUUUGCAGAGUUAUUUUGUCUAACUUAUAAAAGGGAACACCUGCAAGCUUUUGUGUUACUGCGUGAUAGAAAAGCAAGAUUUCAGACACCUGAGAGAGGACAGCAGUCAGCAAGGCUAAGACAUUGCUUUUGAUUUAAAUGUUCAAAAUGACUAUUAAGUUUUACACCAUAACAAAAA
This is a long non-coding RNA of Anas platyrhynchos (mallard), 3517 nucleotides long. RefSeq lists it as uncharacterized. The record is from RefSeq and is a predicted model, not a curated record. NCBI's taxonomy places the organism in Eukaryota, Metazoa, Chordata, Aves, Anseriformes, Anatidae.